This is a non-coding RNA of Mycena polygramma, 94 nucleotides long. The record is from the annotation of a GenBank genome assembly. Lineage: Eukaryota; Fungi; Basidiomycota; Agaricomycetes; Agaricales; Mycenaceae.
GCCUUUGUGGAUCAAUAUAGAUCGCUUUCUGCCUAUGCGGAUACUGCCAUCGGGAUAUAUGGAAGAGAUAUGGGUUCGAAUCCCGUCAGAGGCG